GGAAAAUGUCCGAUUUCGAGAAAUGGGCAGGUGGAAGAAAUCAUCCGGUGAAAAACACUCAUUUAUGAAAGUGUGGCAGAAGUCAUGGUAACAUUCACACCACGCAGAGCAGCAGUGUCUCCGGCCGUGCAGAGGGUGAGUGGGAUGCCCCAUCCUCAUCGCUCCAUCCUGACUCAGACGGCCGCGCGCUGGGCCAAGAAGCCCCACCUCGACUGGGUGAUCAGUCGCUCUCCACGCCGUCAGCUGCAAGAAGCACGGAGCUCCAACCUGUUUUUGUGUCUGUCCAACAGACGGAUUAUACGCGGAAGGGAGCGGAGUGAAGAACGAAGGCCUUUCCAUGCUAUUUCAUUUGAUUUCAUCAUUUGGUUCCAUGUUGUCUCUUCACUCAGGACUGGCCUGCAUACAAGCUGAACUACAGGCUCCCCAAGCUGCAUUGCUGCACCUGCUUUAAUCUCAAAGAGUAGCUUUAAGAUCCAAAUAUUCAAGAUUUCUUGUUUCACAUGCAAGAGCUGUGUAAAAACAUAAAAUCUUACAGAGUAUUCUUAGCCUAGUUUCUAGUGCAAAUAUCUUGUUAUGCUUGAAAUAAAACAAAGCUAAACUUUUCAGUGAGAUGGAGCAGUUUGAUUUAAAGCAGCAGCAUUUUGAAAAAUCUACUUUUUUCAGCUUUACAUCAUGUUAUAAUGUCAUUCCCUCAUCACAAACAUAUCUGGAAGUGUUGUUUUGUUUUUUUCAUGCAUGUUUGAGAAAUCCUUUAAUCUCCAUGGCAACCAUUCAACUGGGCAAAACAACUGGGUGGACCUAGCUCCGCCUUCGAGACGCAACUCCUCCUCAGAGCUGCAGUUUCUAAGUUUCUAAGCUUUCUCCACACGGAAAUCCUUCAGACUAGCCAGCAGCAAUUAGCAAAUACAUGUUGAAACUGCACAUCUGCUGAGCUCAUUAUAUGAGCUACGUCUUAGCGUAAUGCUAGUAAAAACACGCGACGUUGUGAUGGAGUUUCAGAAAGAGCAGGAAGGUUUAAAGAGACAGAGGCCCAAUUUCAAGGCGUUAAAUUAUGAAGUGAAAUUUCUAAGUCACAUUUUAACAUUUUUAUAAUAACUGAAAGUAAAAUAGCUACUUGAUUAUGCUAUAAAAUAGCACUAUGUGCCUGGAAAGGCAUAAUAAGGCCCCCUUAGUUCAAUAACUUCUUAAUAUUGAUAUAAAAGUGGUUAUAAGUGCAAUAAUCUGCCAGUGGAACAACACAUUUCCUAUAUUAUAAGUUUAUGCAUGUGAAGCAAAGUUUUAACAGACGAAUCCUAAAUAUCUGGGUUAUAAUAUUAAAAAAUGUAUUUUUCCAAAAGCAGAUUAUUUCACUUAUAACUAGUACUUAUAGCAUUUUCAAAGAAUUAUUGACUUAAAGCAAGUUCCUGUACCUUGCUGAUAAGUUACCUGUAAGUUGGUUGGUUGUCUUAUUUCAAGUGUACUAAGAUUUUAACACUAGAAACUAGACCAAAAUGUUUGGUAAGAUUUGAUGUUUUUGCAGUGCAGGACACAGAUUCUCCUGCUCAAAUGACUACUUCCCCAAAAGGUGUUGCAAGAACUUCCUGGUUGCAACUUUUUGAGGAAUUUUGAGGUCAAGACAUCUGCGAAUUUCGUAACACAGAGGCCCGCAACUGUAAAACUUAAGAACACAACUUUGUUUUUUACAUCAGAGAGGCCAUUUGUGUGAGGUUUUAAAUAUUACAAGGUAGUAAGUAAAGGCAGUGAAGUUAUCAGGUCUGUAGAAAACAAUCUCUCUUAAGUCUGAUCAUUUUCUGUCGAUAAAAAGCUGAAAUUGUGAUAAAUCUCCAAGUUGGUUGUUCUGUCUCAGAAAGUACAAGCACUUUAGCAGACAUUCAGAUUUCUGUGUUGCUUUAAUGAAUUUAAAUUAAUCAGUAACUUUUUAAAGAGAGGUUUUAUGUCUCCAGUUUAUUUGUGCUAUCUGUAUCUGUUAGUUUGCAGAUGUACAUGUUUAUUUCUAAUGUGAAAAGUGAUCACAGAUUUAGAAUCUGAGAGACUCUGCUGAAGUUCCUGUUUUGUUUUUUUUUGUAACCUGAAAACAUGAAGCUAAGUAUAAGUAACACAUUGUGGUAACACACUAAGGUUUAUUGACCCGGUUUGGGUUAACAUGGUACCGUUGGGUUGAUGUUAUCCAAACUAAAUGAAAUAAACUGCUUCAGAAAGCA
This is a long non-coding RNA of Xiphophorus couchianus (Monterrey platyfish), 2201 nucleotides long. RefSeq lists it as uncharacterized. The record is from RefSeq and is a predicted model, not a curated record. Lineage: Eukaryota; Metazoa; Chordata; Actinopteri; Cyprinodontiformes; Poeciliidae. The transcript is spliced from 2 exons.